This 347-nucleotide ribosomal RNA is filed under the name uncultured eukaryote. RNAcentral's name for it is "LSU rRNA". It matches the Rfam family "Bacterial large subunit ribosomal RNA", at positions 1624 to 1960 of the family's 2925-position model. The record is from RNAcentral.
ACCAUAAACAAUGUCAGCCUGUACCCGAAACCGACACAGGUAGGGAGGUAGAGUAUACCGAAGGGGCGCGAGAUAACUCUCUCUAAGGAACUCGGACAAAAUCGACCCCGUAACGUUCGGAGAAGGGGUGCUCGUUUCGGGUGAAUACGCCCAGGAGAGCCGCAGUGAAGACGUCCCAGGCGACUUGUUUAACCAAAACACAGGUCUCCGACAAAGUCGUAAGACGACGUAGUGGGGGCUGACGCCUGCCCAGUGCCGGAAGGUUAAGGAAGUUGGUUAGGGUAACCGAAGCUAGCGACUGAAGCCCCGGUGAAUGGCGGCCGUAACUAUAACGGUCCUAAGGUAGC